UCAUAACAUGACUUACAAUGUCAAUAGA
RNAcentral lists this small RNA (28 nucleotides) under Bombyx mori (domestic silkworm). Its description in RNAcentral is "ovarian small RNA-25864". The record is from RNAcentral. Lineage: Eukaryota; Metazoa; Arthropoda; Insecta; Lepidoptera; Bombycidae.